This 511-nucleotide ribosomal RNA is filed under the name uncultured bacterium. Its description in RNAcentral is "bacterial SSU rRNA". It matches the Rfam family "Bacterial small subunit ribosomal RNA", at positions 8 to 518 of the family's 1533-position model. The record is from RNAcentral.
AGAGUUGAUCCUGGCUUAGGAUGAACGCUGGCGGCGUGCAUAACACAUCAAGUCGAACGGAGCACAGACCGGAAGGCCUUCGGGCCGGAAGGACUGUGACUUAGUGGCGGACGGGUGAGUAACGCGUGAGCAACCCGCCUGUGAUAGGGGAAUAACACACGGAAACGUGUGCUAAUACCGCAUGAGGCACAGAAUUCGCAUGAAACUGUGUUAAAGAGAAAUCGAUCACAGAUGGGCUCGCGUAUGAUUAGGUAGUUGGUAAGGUAAGGGCUUACCAAGCCUGCGAUCAUUAGCCGAACUGAGAGGUUGAACGGCCACAUUGGAACUGAGAAACGGUCCAGACUCCUACGGGAGGCAGCAGUGGGGAAUAUUGGGCAAUGGGCGAAAGCCUGACCCAGCCGACGCCGCGUGAGGGAAGAAGGUCUUCGGAUUGUAAACCUCUUUCAGCAGGGAAGAAGAAAGUGACGGUACCUGCAGAAGAAGUCACGGCUAACUACGUGCCAGCAGCAGC